GCCUGGGGAGUACGGCCGCAAGGUUAAAACUCAAAUGAAUUGACGGGGGCCCGCACAAGCGGUGGAGCAUGUGGUUUAAUUCGAUGCAACGCGAAGAACCUUACCUACUCUUGACAUCCAGAGAAUUUGGCAGAGAUGCUGAAGUGCCUUCGGGAACUCUGAGACAGGUGCUGCAUGGCUGUCGUCAGCUCGUGUUGUGAAAUGUUGGGUUAAGUCCCGCAACGAGCGCAACCCUUAUCCUUUGUUGCCAGCGAUUCGGUCGGGAACUCAAAGGAGACUGCCG
RNAcentral lists this ribosomal RNA (283 nucleotides) under Providencia stuartii. Its description in RNAcentral is "partial 16S ribosomal RNA". It matches the Rfam family "Bacterial small subunit ribosomal RNA", at positions 871 to 1154 of the family's 1533-position model. Lineage: Bacteria; Pseudomonadati; Pseudomonadota; Gammaproteobacteria; Enterobacterales; Morganellaceae. The record is from RNAcentral.